This 70-nucleotide transfer RNA is filed under the name Aedes aegypti (yellow fever mosquito). RNAcentral describes it as "partial tRNA-OTHER". The record is from RNAcentral. Lineage: Eukaryota; Metazoa; Arthropoda; Insecta; Diptera; Culicidae.
GGCAAACUAGUAUAGUGGUCAGUAUACCUGCCUGACACGCGGGAGACCGGGCUCCGAUUCCCCGUUGUGG